This 449-nucleotide ribosomal RNA is filed under the name uncultured bacterium. RNAcentral's name for it is "bacterial SSU rRNA". It matches the Rfam family "Bacterial small subunit ribosomal RNA", at positions 330 to 795 of the family's 1533-position model. The record is from RNAcentral.
UCCAGACUCCUACGGGAGGCAGCAGUGGGGAAUAUUGCACAAUGGGGGAAACCCUGAUGCAGCAACGCCGCGUGAAGGAAGACGGUUUUCGGAUUGUAAACUUCUGUUCUUAGUGAAGAAGAAUGACGGUAGCUAAGGAGCAAGCCACGGCUAACUACGUGCCAGCAGCCGCGGUAAUACGUAGGUGGCAAGCGUUGUCCGGAUUUACUGGGUGUAAAGGGCGUGUAGCCGGGCUGACAAGUCAGAUGUGAAAUCCCGUGGCUCAACCACGGAACUGCAUUUGAAACUGUCGGUCUUGAGUAUCGGAGAGGCAGGCGGAAUUCCUAGUGUAGCGGUGAAAUGCGUAGAUAUUAGGAGGAACACCAGUGGCGAAGGCGGCCUGCUGGACGACAACUGACGGUGAGGCGCGAAAGCGUGGGGAGCAAACAGGAUUAGAUACCCCCGUACAC